RNAcentral lists this ribosomal RNA (465 nucleotides) under uncultured bacterium. RNAcentral's name for it is "partial 16S ribosomal RNA". It matches the Rfam family "Bacterial small subunit ribosomal RNA", at positions 339 to 795 of the family's 1533-position model. The record is from RNAcentral.
CUACGGGUGGCUCCAGUGGGGAAUAUUGGACAAUGGGGGAAACCCUGAUCCAGCAAUGCCGCGUGUGUGAAGAAGGCCUGCGGGUUGUAAAGCACUUUCGGUUGGGAGGACUGCUUCUAGCACUAAUAUUGUUGGAAGUUGACGUUACCUUCAGAAGAAGCACCGGCUAACUCCGUGCCAGCAGCCGCGGUAAUACGGAGGGUGCAGGCGUUAAUCGGAAUUACUGGGCGUAAAGCGCGCGUAGGCGGCUAGAUCAGUCGGGUGUGAAAGCCCCGGGCAUAACCUGGGAACUGCAUCCGAUACUGUCUAGCUUGAGUACAGGAGAGGAGAGUGGAAUUCCACAUGUAGCGGUGAAAUGCGUAGAUAUGUGGAGGAACACCAAUGGCGAAGGCAGCUCUCUGGCCUGAUACUGACGCUGAGGUGCGAAAGCGUGGGGAGCAAACAGGAUUAGAUACCCGUGUAGUC